UGAGGAAUCUUCGUCAAUGGGCAGACGCCUGAACGAGCAACGCCGCGUGGAGGACGACGCCUUUCGGGGUGUAAACUCCUUUUCUGUGGGACGAGAGUGGACGGUACCACAGGAAGAAGCCCCGGCUAACUACGUGCCAGCAGCCGCGGUAAUACGUAGGGGGCAAGCGUUGUCCGGAGUUACUGGGCGUAAAGCGCACGCAGGCGGUUGCACGCGUUUCCGGUGCCAGCUCGUUGCUUAACGACGAGAGUGCCGGGAAGACGGCGCGACUCGAGGACCUCAGAGGGACAUAGAAUUCCGGGUGGAGUGGUGAAGUGCGUAGAUAUCCGGAGGAAUACCAAAGGCGAAGGCAGUGUCCUGGGAGGUGACUGACGCUAAGGUGCGAAAGCCAGGGGAGCGAACGGGAUUAGAUACCCCGGUAGUCCUGGCCGUAAACGAUGACCAUUAGGCGUGUGGGGUAUCGACCCCCUGCGUGCCGAAGUUAACACAUGAAAUGGUCCGCCUGGGGAGUACGGUCGCAAGAUUA
This 526-nucleotide ribosomal RNA is filed under the name uncultured bacterium. Its description in RNAcentral is "bacterial SSU rRNA". It matches the Rfam family "Bacterial small subunit ribosomal RNA", at positions 355 to 896 of the family's 1533-position model. The record is from RNAcentral.